UCACACUCUUGCUAUGAGCCAUGAAUCAAAACUUAUUUUGAGGAGAAAAGCAACCCAGAAAGGCCCUGUUGGAUACCCCACCUCCUCCUCUGAGAAUAUCAGGUGAACAUUCUCUCAUUCAUUUUGCCACUUUGUUUAUAUCCAAAUAUCUGGAUAUUAACGGACAAAUGCAGGAGCCAGUUGGGUCCCCAGAACUUCGAAAUUAACCUUUCUGAGCAAAGGAAAAAGCUCUUCCCGUCCUCUCAGGGUGAGUGACUGAUUGGGCAGCUUGCUUCAACGUUCGGACACACCCAGAAAAUUGUUCCAGACUGUGGAUCAGAGGCCUCUAAGUGUGUCAAACUCACUUGCCUCUAGGUAGCUGGGCUGCUGUUCCCGGUCCAGCUGUAUAACCAUAUAAUAUGUCACCCAUCUCCAGACAGUUUAUUUAGUAAAAAGAGUUGUUUUUGAUGAGCAUGCUGUGACCAAAGACUCAACCUAGGACAACGCCUGGGGAACCAGGACCCACCGCCUAAGUCUGCCUGGGUAACUUCUGGGGCCGCCAAUGGCUGGUGACACCCCCCUGCCCACCUGCAGCUGUCCUUAGGGCUGGCCUGUGGUAAAAAUGACAGGCGAAGAUCUUAAGAAAGUACAGUUUUUAUGAGACCAACUGUUUUGUGAAUGCUCUCAACAACAGAGCCCCAUGUCUGCAGAUCUUCCAGAGGGCUAACGAAAGCCAAGUUUGAGGAAGCGUGGCUCUCACUCUGAGGGAAAAUGUGAAAAAAAGAUUAUAGAAAUCAGGAGUUCCCACUGUGUAAUGAAUCUGACUAGUACCCAUGAGGAUGCAGGUUCAAUCCCUGUCCUUGCUCAGUGGGUUAAGGAUCCGGCAUUGCCACGAGCUGUGGUGUAGGUCACAGACGCGGCUUGGGUCCCAUGUGGCUGUGGCUGUGGUGUAGGCCGGCAGCUGCAGCUCUGAUUCAACCCCUAACUUGGGAACCUCCAUAUGCCGUGGGUGUGGCCCUAAAAAGAAAAGAAAAGAUUACAAAAAUCAGAUGACACAAUGAAAAGAAGCGGAGGAGGUGGACUGUGCGUGGACCUGCAUAGAAACAGCAAUUUUGCAGAAGCACCUCUGAGUGGAGUUCUAGGGACAGACCGAAUAGGCUUUGUGGAGACACACCCUGUCACUCCUACGAAGUCCUGCAGGUAACUGGCUCCCAUGACCAGCAUGAUGGGAAAAGAACAAGGGCCUUUCUAUGCUACAGCCACACAAAGAUGCUGCAAAAGAAGGGAAAGAAAAGGCAGCACAGAUUACCAACAGAGGAAGGGAAUUCUCCAGAAAAGCAUUGCCUUGCAAGAGAUGAAAAAUUGUAGGAAGUGAAAUCUUCAUUCGUUUAAAAUAAAUGCUAUUUUAAGAGGUGUACAAUGAAGCCGAAAGGCAAGAACUCAGAAUGUAGAAACGGAGGAUGUUAAUCACAGGUGGGCAGAGGGCAGGACAGAAAGAUGAGGAUGGCAUUGGAUAGAGUCCAAAGGCAAAUGAACACUAACAAGAAAAAUGAGGUGACCUGAAGAGUAGAAGCGAGAAAAGUCAAAAGAAAACGGGAAAAAAGUGUUAAACUUAUCACAGGACACAGGUAUGCAAGAAACUAGCCCAAAUAAUGUUGAGCAUAGUAUGUUGACUCUGUACCUCAGAUUGAAGAUAAAAAUGCUGUACCCAUGCUGAAUUCUAACUAGGAGCUUUGUUGGUCCUGGUCAUUUGGGCUACUCAUUUGGCAACCACUUCUGAGUAUUUUUGGAUAGAGAAGUAAUUGCCUUAAGAACAAGCAACUGUAACUUUCUCCUCUUCUGAUGGAGAGCUGAGUUACCAAGUAUGGCGAGGGCGGAGAUUAAGAACUUGUGUGCAGGGGAAUUGGGACAUCUGUGUAAUGACUGCAUGUGAGCGUGCAUGCACACACACACAAACACAUGCAUGUGCACACGCACUCGUGACUCCAGCCACAGAGUCCUCGGGUCUCCUGGGUGAAGGGGCCCUGGAGCAGUCUGCCUCGGCACCUGUGACAACUCACAUCUUGAGCUCUGCAAACCAUUCUAAUAAAUUGGCUUGAAACAAUGGUUUCCUUGGCGACACAGUUGCGUCCAGGGCUGUGUCAAGGGACGUAUAAGGUGAGGGCUAGAAUGGGAUGGAAGAAAGUGACCAGAGAAUGGAGCCCCGUGCUGACGAAGACGUUGCACGAGCCAACUGAUGAAGAUGUUCCACUGGUCAUUUCAGGUACAAUUUGAGCAUCGAAAUACAUAAGGAUAGAAAGACGUAGUUAUCCAUUGAAUGAACUGAGAAUUGCUCAUUCCCUGAGUGAACGGGAAGGAAACACUCCUCCUUGCUGAAGAAAACCAACAAAGAAACGUGGAAGGGAAGGCAAGGUUAGGAAGUCCUUGUCUGACAGCUGUUGACUGAGGCCAAAACCAGGGGUAGAAAGUUGGAGCCACGAAACAUCUUGUUUCCAAGGGUCCAAGAUACUUCUUAACAGAAAGGACCACAGAGGAGCUUUGCACCUGAGAAACCUUGCAGACGCCACAUUCCCCAAAGGACGGAAGUUACCUUCACCCCCAAACGAGGUCAAGUCACCCUUGCUAUGGUUCGUAAGACGAUCACAGCGUCACUUCCGAGGGUCUUCUGCCCCAGAUACGUGACCUGCAACAAAUCACGACAAAAUAUCUAAGUACCCACACUGAGUGACAUUCUCAAAACAAUGGCUCAAAGUUUUUAAAGAAAGUGAAAUGUAAAAACAUGCUUCUGAUUAAAGGAGACUCAAGUGAUCAUGAUUAAUAUAAUACGUGUCCUUUUGUGAAACCCUGGCCUGGGCUGGGCAGGGGUCCUUUAUGAUAGACAUUAUUGGGACAAUUAAUGACAUUUUGAACAGAGACUGCGAAUUCCAUAACAGUAUUGUAUCAUAUUCAGUUUCCUGGAUUUGAACAUUCUUCUGUCGUUUCAUAAGAGUAUCCUUGUUUUUCGGGAAUAUACUGAUAUAUUUAGGGUAAAAGUGUGCUGCCUGGGAACCUCCUUAUGCCAUAAGAGCGGCCCCAGAAAAGGCAAAAAGACAAAUAAAAUAAAAUAAAAUAAAUAAAUAAAUGGGGGGAGUUCCUGUCAUGGCUCAGCAGAAAUGAAUCUGACUGAUGCGGGUUCAAUCCCUGGCCUUGCCCAGUGGGUUAAGGAUCCAGCAUUGUGGUGAGCUGUGGUGUAGGUCACAGAUGGGGCUUGGAUCCUGCAUUGUGGUGGCUGUGGUGUAGGCCGGUGGCUGUAGCUCCAAUUUGACCCCUAGCCUAGGAAUCUCCAUAUGCCACAGGUACGGCCCUAAAAAAAAAAAAAAAAAAAAAAAAAAAAAAAGAACUUUUAAUGCAGUGGGGCACACCAAGACCUACGGAGAAAUGUUGCUCUUUUCUACACAGCAACUUUUGCAAAGGGUAAAGACAUCCAAAGUAUGAAGAGUGGGCUAAAGAUUUUGUAUUCAUGGAAGCAUCCUUCAGGUAUAAGGGCUGCAGGCAAAUGGUUUUGAACUUGUGCAAACCCAGGAAAACAUUGUGCCUGUGAGCUCAUCCAAGGAGGUUAUUGGAAGAUGCUUGUUAGCUAAUGACCAAGAGACGUUACAAGAACCCUCACAGUGAAAGAUUUAGGGUGAGCAUUGCACAUGGAGGAGGAAAACCAAGACCCCCACAAAUGUCGGUGCUAAAGAACCCAAGGAUGUGUGUAUGAGACAACUGAUACAAUGAAGAGAGAAAAAGGGAAAGAAAUUGUGGAAAUAACUGUCGUAUUUGUAAUAACUGGAUCAAAAGAUCAAUUUUAAAACUGACACAUUUAAUAGUAGGUGCACAGAGCUGAGAAAAUAGGAAAUUGCAUGUGAAAAAAAUGUUUAACAAGAAUAUGAAGAAAACUCUGAAAUAGAAGGGCAAUGGGCAAGAAUUACACUUAGAAAACAAAAAACAGAGAUUUGUAAAUCAGAUACAUUAAAACAGCAUGGUAUUGCUGUAUAAUUAGAACAAUGGAAAACAGAAAAGAAAAAAAAAAAGUUCAGAAAUUGACCCUAAUUCCAAUUUUGUGCAUGAUAGAUGAAGAAGCACAAAAUAGACAAUUUGAGAUGAUACUAUGGGGCAGGUUUCUGGGGGAAAAAAGGUAAAUCCUACAACAGAAAUAGAAUUCAGGUUAUGCAAUAGGCGUUCCUCUUUGGCUCAGUGGGUUAAGAAUCUGGCCUAGUCACUGCUGUGGCACGAGUUCGAUCCCUGGCCCAGGAACUUCUGCAUACUAUGGGCACAAGCAAACAACAACAACGACCACCAAACAAAAACAAAAGCCAUGUUAGGUUAUGCUACAGUAAAAGGGACCCUAAAAUCACAGUUGCUUAAUUGAAUCUAAUUUAAUCCAACAAAGGUUGAUUACUCAUUCAGGUUAUUGAUCCAUUGUUGAGCAGAGUGGUCAAUGUGCUAUCUUUAUGCAAUCUGAAACUAUUCUAAAAUUUUUAAAAAAUUUAUUUUUAAAAAAUCCAAAUCUUAUAUUCUGCCCCAUAUAACUGCUUUCUCUGAAGUGGGUGAGGAGCCACAAUCUGGGAAUGUAGGUCCUCUGAACUCGCCCCCCUGCCUUGGACCAGACACUACCCCUUUUAGUUUCCCCCACACCCCUCAUCAGCAGGCAGCAUAUGGGGAACUAAGAUUUGGCCAUUUCUGUGCCUUUAUCGCUGCUCCAGACCCUGAAGCCUUUCCUGAAAUCCCCGGGGGCUCUCAUCCUUUAUUCCUAAAUGGCUGCCAGGUUCCUAUGACCCUGACCUCGGUGCUCCUGGCCUCUGCUUUGACCUCCUUCCCGCCUCUCACCAUUGGAUUUAUUCCUGAAGAAGGAUCAAAGUCUGUUGGUUCUGGAAGGAAACGCAGCCCAUCUAGUCAAGUCUUUUUGAGUUAUAUCAAAAAUAAAACAGAUCCACAGAUAGGGAGGAUUCCCUGCUGUCCUGACCUCCUGGGGAGACUGAUCCUCCAGCCUGCCCCCCCGCAGACCCCGAUGUCAAGGCUGGUUCUGGCCCUUCUCCACCAGCCGGUCACUCCAGACAGCAGCUCUGUUUGAGAUUUCAUGAUGUGUGUUGUGUGCACUCACAGAACCACAAGUGUGUCUGUGUGUUCAUGCCACCUUCAUGUCUGAAAUCGGUCUAGAACUUGCUUUUCCAUACACCCAUCUUCUCUGCAAAUAUCAAAAGGGAGAACUUGACCAGGAAUAGAGAAACACCUAUUGACUAAAAAGACACACUUCUACUUUUUGAGGAUUCUAUGUUUUCAGAUCUUUUGGAGUGAAUGUAAGUGAAAUAUUUACCUGGUUUCUCUCUCCUUGGUCGUGAGAGCUCCUAAAACUCCUUUUCAAAAGAUAAGAUCAGAGUUCCUGUUAUGGCUCAGCUGGUUAAAACCCUGACAUAGUGUCUGUGAGGAUGCAGGUUUGAUCCCUGGCCUUGCUCAGUGGGUUAAGGAUCCGGCGUUGCCACAGGCUGCAGUGACAUUCACAGAUGUGGCUCAGAUUCCAUGUUGCUGUGACUGUGGUGUGGGCUGGCAGCUGCAGCUGCAGUUUGACCCCUAGCCUGGGAACUUCCAUAGGCUGCAGAUGCAGCCAUUAAAAAAAAGCAAACGAUCAUCUACGUUUGAUGCAUUAAUUAACGCAGCAGGAUUUAAAGAAUAGAAUUAUUUUGACUUUUAAGUCUUGGUCUAUAUCUGCCUUUAGCAAGAGAGGCUGCGUUUUUCUCCAUGGAAAUGAGCUUGAGAAUAUUGUGUGUUUGAAUGAAUCAGUGACCCUGUUAAUUUCUCCUCAUCUGGAUGAUGUCAUGAGAUCUAUGGAAGCACUUCCAGGAAGGCAGUCUGAUGGCUUAGCUGUGUUAAGAUGCUGCAGACUCUCCAAAUCAUGUAUUUACAUAUGAGCUUCUGUAAAUUGUCCCAGCGCAAGCCCAACAACAAAAAUAAACAUGAG
RNAcentral lists this long non-coding RNA (5959 nucleotides) under Sus scrofa (pig). Its description in RNAcentral is "lncRNA (ENSSSCG00040068503.1)". Lineage: Eukaryota; Metazoa; Chordata; Mammalia; Artiodactyla; Suidae. The record is from RNAcentral.